GGGGGGGGGGGGGGGGGGGGGGGGGGCGGGCGGGGCGGGGGGGGGGGCGCGAGGUUGCUUGGGUGCUCGGGUGGCGAGCGGGGGGGUGAGACGUGGGGGAUCUGCCCUGCGCUUCGGGGUAAGCCUGGGGCACUGGGUCUAAUACCGGAUCGGACCCCACUUUGGAUGGUGUGGUGGAACGUUUUUCGGUGUGUGAUGAGCUCGCGGCCUAUCAGCUUGUUGGUGGGGUAAUGGCCUACCAAGGCGUCGACGGGUAGCCGGCCUGAGAGUGUGUACGGCCACAUUGGGACUGAGAUACGGCCCAGACUCCUACGGGAGGCAGCAGUGGGGAAUAUUGCACAAUGGGCGCAAGCCUGAUGCAGCGACGCCGCGUGGGGGAUGACGGCCUUCGGGUUGUAAACUCCUUUCGCUAGGGAAGAAGCGUUUUUGUGACGGUACCUGGAGAAGAAGCACCGGCUAACUACGUG
Molecule: ribosomal RNA, 467 nt
Filed under: uncultured bacterium
Lineage: Bacteria
Description: partial 16S ribosomal RNA
Rfam family: Bacterial small subunit ribosomal RNA
Source: RNAcentral